Molecule: ribosomal RNA, 293 nt
Filed under: uncultured bacterium
Lineage: Bacteria
Description: partial 16S ribosomal RNA
Rfam family: Bacterial small subunit ribosomal RNA
Source: RNAcentral
GUGCCAGCAGCCGCGGUAAGACGAACCGUGCGAACGUUAUUCGGAAUCACUGGGCUUAAAGCGCGUGUAGGCGGCCCGGCACGUCCGUCGCUGAAAUCCCCCGGCUCAACCGGGGAAGUGGCGUGGAUACGACCGGGCUGGAGGGGGGUAGGGGGAGCCGGAACUUCCGGUGGAGCGGUGAAAUGCGUUGAGAUCGGAAGGAACGCCCGUGGCGAAAGCGGGCUCCUGGACCCCACCUGACGCUGAGACGCGAAAGCCAGGGGAGCGAACGGGAUUAGAAACCCCCGUAGUCC